AACGAACGCUGGCGGCAUGCCUAACACAUGCAAGUCGAACGAUUGCCUUCGGGUGAUUGUGGCUCACGGGUGCGUAACGCGUGGGAAUCUGCCCUUAGGUUCGGAAUAACAGCUGGGAACGGCUGCUAAUACCGGAUGAUAUCGCGAGAUCAAAGAUUUCUCGCCUGAGGAUGAGCCCGGGUUUGAUUAGCUAGGUGGUGGGGUAAAGGCAUACCAAGGCGACGAUCCGUAGCUGGUCUGAGAGGCUGAUCAGCCACACUGGAACUGAGACACGGUACAGACUCCUACGGGAGGCAGCAGUGGGGAAUAUUGGACAAUGGGCGCAAGCCUGAUCAAGCCAUACAGCGUGGGUGAAGAAGGCAUUCGGGUUGUAAAGCCCUUUUGUUGGGAAAGAAAAGCAGCAGGUUAAUACCCCGCUGUUCUGACGGUACCCAAAGAAUAAGCACCGGCUAACUUCGUG
This 460-nucleotide ribosomal RNA is filed under the name uncultured bacterium. RNAcentral describes it as "partial 16S ribosomal RNA". It matches the Rfam family "Bacterial small subunit ribosomal RNA", at positions 29 to 507 of the family's 1533-position model. The record is from RNAcentral.